ACGAACGCUGGCGGCGUGCUUAACACAUUCAAGUCGAACGGAAAGGCCCUGCUUUUGUGGGGUGCUCGAGUGGCGAACGGGUGAGUAACACGUGAGUAACCUGCCCUUGACUUUUGGAUAACUUCAGGAAACUGGGGCUAAUACCGGAUAGGAGCUCCUGCUGCUUGGUGGGGGUUGGAAAGUUUCGGCGGUUGGGGAUGGACUCGCGGCUUAUCAGCUUGUUGGUGGGGUAGUGGCUUACCAAGGCUUUGACGGGUAGCCGGCCUGAGAGGGUGACCGGCCACAGUGGGACUGAGAUACGGCCCAGACUCCUACGGGAGGCAGCAGUGGGGAAUAUUGCACAAUGGGCGGAAGCCUGAUGCAGCAACGCCGCGUGCGGGAUGACGGCCUUCGGGUUGUAAACCGCUUUCGCCUGUGACGAAGCGUGAGUGACGGUAAUGGGUAAAGAAGCACCGGCUAACUACGUG
RNAcentral lists this ribosomal RNA (467 nucleotides) under uncultured bacterium. Its description in RNAcentral is "partial 16S ribosomal RNA". It matches the Rfam family "Bacterial small subunit ribosomal RNA", at positions 29 to 507 of the family's 1533-position model. The record is from RNAcentral.